Molecule: non-coding RNA, 246 nt
Organism: Vicia faba (fava bean)
Lineage: Eukaryota; Viridiplantae; Streptophyta; Magnoliopsida; Fabales; Fabaceae
Source: the annotation of a GenBank genome assembly
AUGAACAACUUUGAAGGAACGAUGGAGCAGAUUCGGCAGCUGGUGAUGGAGCAGCAGACGAGGCCGCAAGUCAUGGUGGAGCAAAUCCGCCAGCUGAUUCAAGAGCGUCUGGGACGGAAUAACGGAAGAUCCGACGACAAAGAUGAAGGAAGCAAAGGAGCACAAUAUCGCGAGAUUCUAGACCCAGGAACCGCCGUCUUAGUGGCGGAAACGGAUCUCGUUUCAUGGGAAGGAGAUGACGGUUAG